GACGUAGGGCGCAAGCGUUGUCCGGAUUUAUUGGGCGUAAAGAGCUCGUAGGCGGUCUGUCGCGUCUGCUGUGAAAACUCGGGGCUUAACCCCGGGCCUGCAGUGGGUACGGGCAGACUAGAGUGCGGUAGGGGAGACUGGAAUUCCUGGUGUAGCGGUGAAAUGCGCAGAUAUCAGGAGGAACACCAACGGCGAAGGCAGCACUCUGGGCCGGUACUGACGCUGAGGAGCGAAAGCGUGGGGAGCAAACAGG
This 253-nucleotide ribosomal RNA is filed under the name uncultured bacterium. RNAcentral's name for it is "partial 16S ribosomal RNA". It matches the Rfam family "Bacterial small subunit ribosomal RNA", at positions 524 to 776 of the family's 1533-position model. The record is from RNAcentral.